UACGAAGGGGGCUAGCGUUGUUCGGAAUUACUGGGCGUAAAGCGCACGUAGGCGGAUAUUUAAGUCAGGGGUGAAAUCCCAGAGCUCAACUCUGGAACUGCCUUUGAUACUGGGUAUCUCGAGUAUGGAAGAGGUGAGUGGAAUUCCGAGUGUAGAGGUGAAAUUCGUAGAUAUUCGGAGGAACACCAGUGGCGAAGGCGGCUCACUGGGCUCUUGCUGACACUGCAGCGCGACAGCGUGGGGAGCAAACAGG
Molecule: ribosomal RNA, 253 nt
Filed under: uncultured bacterium
Lineage: Bacteria
Description: partial 16S ribosomal RNA
Rfam family: Bacterial small subunit ribosomal RNA
Source: RNAcentral